UUUCACUUCUCAAAAGCAGAAUCAGAAGCGUUCUCUUCAUUCAUUCAAGGUGUGUUGACUCUUACCAUGAAUGGCGUGGGAAAAGAAGUUGGCUCGAUAUUGACAGGAUAUCUGUUUAGAGAAUGUGGCAUUAAAACAACCUUGUGUGGAUACUCAGUAAUUUCUUUUGUAUGGUUCAUAUUUCUGGCAGUUUACACUUUCAGCAGUCAAGAGGCUCAUAACUACAAGAGAGUAAAAACAGAAGCUGAGAGUGAUAUCGAUGAAGAGAAACUCCCAUAAUAAAAACUAUUUCAACUUACCAUUACUGAAAAAGGUUUUGUCAGUAAAUAGGUUAUUUUGUGAUGCAAAACAUGUACUACUUAUUUACCGCUGUGCCUGGUGGCCUGGUAAUGUAAUUUUUAAUGAAAAUUUUAUUGCUCGUUUGCUGUAAUCAGCAAAGUAUCGAAUCAAUUAAAAUGAAUGGCAUGCUUCAAUUUUGUAAUUAACAGCAGCUGCAAUUCGUAUUAGAUUUUCUAAAUAUUUCUGCUGGUAAUAGCAAUUGUCGUUUCCUGAAUCUGUUCUUACAUUGGACUUCAGCCCAAUUUUUUCCGAUAAACCAUUAAAAAUGAAAAGUAUCUGUUUGAUAAUAUCUAUGUUAUGUGUAAAAGGAUUUGCAUGCCCUUAAUAUGUGUUGUUUCAUAUAA
Molecule: long non-coding RNA, 683 nt
Organism: Xenia sp. Carnegie-2017
Lineage: Eukaryota; Metazoa; Cnidaria; Anthozoa; Malacalcyonacea; Xeniidae
Exons: 2
Source: RefSeq, a predicted model, not a curated record